Molecule: ribosomal RNA, 425 nt
Filed under: uncultured bacterium
Lineage: Bacteria
Description: bacterial SSU rRNA
Rfam family: Bacterial small subunit ribosomal RNA
Source: RNAcentral
GGGGAAUUGUUCGCAAUGGGCGCAAGCCUGACGACGCAACGCCGCGUGGAGGAUGAAGAUCUUCGGGUCGUAAACUCCUUUCGAUCGAGACGAAUUCCUCCGGGGUGAACAAUCCCUGAGGUUGACGGUACCGAGAGAAGAAGCCCCGGCUAACUCCGUGCCAGCAGCCGCGGUAAUACGGAGGGGGCUAGCGUUGUUCGGAAUUACUGGGCGUAAAGCGUACGUAGGCGGCUUUGUAAGUUAGAGGUGAAAGCCCGGAGCUUAACUCCGGAAUUGCCUUUAAGACUGCAUCGCUUGAAUCAUGGAGAGGUGAGUGGAAUUCCGAGUGUAGAGGUGAAAUUCGUAGAUAUUCGGAAGAACACCAGUGGCGAAGGCGACUCACUGGACAUGUAUUGACGCUGAGGUACGAAAGCGUGGGGAGCAAA